CAGUCGCCGCGGGAAAACGAAGGGGGCUAGCGUUGUUCGGAAUUACUGGGCGUAAAGCGCACGUAGGCGGACAUUUAAGUCAGGGGUGAAAUCCCGGGGCUCAACCCCGGAACUGCCUUUGAUACUGGGUGUCUAGAGUAUGGAAGAGGUGAGUGGAAUUCCGAGUGUAGAGGUGAAAUUCGUAGAUAUUCGGAGGAACACCAGUGGCGAAGGCGGCUCACUGGUCCAUUACUGACGCUGAGGUGCGAAAGCGUGGGGAGCAAACAGGAUUAGAUACCCCGGUAGUCCCUGUCUCUUAUAC
This 301-nucleotide ribosomal RNA is filed under the name uncultured bacterium. Its description in RNAcentral is "partial 16S ribosomal RNA". It matches the Rfam family "Bacterial small subunit ribosomal RNA", at positions 509 to 807 of the family's 1533-position model. The record is from RNAcentral.